This 623-nucleotide ribosomal RNA is filed under the name Pseudohaemophilus sputorum. RNAcentral's name for it is "Haemophilus sputorum bacterial SSU rRNA". It matches the Rfam family "Bacterial small subunit ribosomal RNA", at positions 86 to 705 of the family's 1533-position model. The record is from RNAcentral. Lineage: Bacteria; Pseudomonadati; Pseudomonadota; Gammaproteobacteria; Pasteurellales; Pasteurellaceae.
UGCUGACGAGUGGCGGACGGGUGAGUAAUGCUUGGGAAUCUGGCUUAUGGAGGGGGAUAACUACGGGAAACUGUAGCUAAUACCGCGUAAUAUCGAGAGAUUAAAGGGUGGGACCGCAAGGCCACCUGCCAUGAGAUGAGCCCAAGUGGGAUUAGGUAGUUGGUGAGGUAAAGGCUCACCAAGCCGACGAUCUCUAGCUGGUCUGAGAGGAUGACCAGCCACACUGGAACUGAGACACGGUCCAGACUCCUACGGGAGGCAGCAGUGGGGAAUAUUGCACAAUGGGGGGAACCCUGAUGCAGCCAUGCCGCGUGAAUGAAGAAGGCCUUCGGGUUGUAAAGUUCUUUCGGUAGCGAGGAAGGCAUUUAGUUUAAUAGACUAGAUGAUUGACGUUAACUACAGAAGAAGCACCGGCUAACUCCGUGCCAGCAGCCGCGGUAAUACGGGGGGUGCGAGCGUUAAUCGGAAUAACUGGGCGUAAAGGGCACGCAGGCGGUGACUUAAGUGAGAUGUGAAAGCCCCGGGCUUAACCUGGGAAUUGCAUUUCAUACUGGGUCGCUAGAGUACUUUAGGGAGGGGUAGAAUUCCACGUGUAGCGGUGAAAUGCGUAGAGAUGUGGAGGA